UCCCAUGUGGCUCAGUUGGUUGAGCAUGGCGCUUGCAACGCUACGGUUGUGGGUUUGAUUCCCAUGGGGGAC
RNAcentral lists this transfer RNA (72 nucleotides) under Salmo salar (Atlantic salmon). It matches the Rfam family "tRNA". Rfam says of the family: Transfer RNA (tRNA) molecules are approximately 80 nucleotides in length. Their secondary structure includes four short double-helical elements and three loops (D, anti-codon, and T loops). The record is from Rfam by way of RNAcentral. Lineage: Eukaryota; Metazoa; Chordata; Actinopteri; Salmoniformes; Salmonidae.